This 484-nucleotide ribosomal RNA is filed under the name uncultured bacterium. Its description in RNAcentral is "partial 16S ribosomal RNA". It matches the Rfam family "Bacterial small subunit ribosomal RNA", at positions 30 to 507 of the family's 1533-position model. The record is from RNAcentral.
AUUGAACGCUGGCGGCAGGCCUAACACAUGCAAGUCGAGCGGAUGAAGGGAGCUUGCUCCUGGAUUCAGCGGCGGACGGGUGAGUAAUGCCUAGGAAUCUGUCUGUUAGUGGUGGCUAACGUCCGGACACGGGCGCUAAUACCGCAUACGUCCUGAGGGAGAAAGUGGGGGAUCUUCGGACCUCACGCUAUCAGAUGAUCCUAGGUCGGAUUAUCUAGUUGGUGGGGUAAAGGCCUACCAAGGCGACGAUCCGUAACUGGUCUGAGAGGAUGAUCAGUCACACUGGAACUGAGACACGGUCCAGACUCCUACGGGAGGCAGCAGUGGGGAAUAUUGGACAAUGGGCGAAAGCCUGAUCCAGCCAUGCCGCGUGUGUGAAGAAGGUCUUCGGAUUGUAAAGCACUUUUGGUUGGGAGGAAAAGCAGUAAGUUAAUACCUUGCUGUUUUGACGUUACCAAAAGAAUAAGCACCGGCUAACUUCGUG